UGGCUCCUCUGUCCAGUUUACUCACCUCUGGGAGACUGGCUACAGGUGGUCUAUCCACGGCUACACAGGGGUCUCUAUCCUGGACUAGACGUCUCUAUCCUGGAUUAGACGUCUCUAUCCUGAACUUACUCUCCGCCUGAUCUCGUAGACUUGCUCCAUCUAGGAGGCGGACUCCCCCUUCAA
This is a long non-coding RNA of Amblyraja radiata (thorny skate), 183 nucleotides long. RefSeq lists it as uncharacterized. NCBI's taxonomy places the organism in Eukaryota, Metazoa, Chordata, Chondrichthyes, Rajiformes, Rajidae. The record is from RefSeq and is a predicted model, not a curated record. The transcript has 2 exons.